Molecule: ribosomal RNA, 472 nt
Filed under: uncultured bacterium
Lineage: Bacteria
Description: partial 16S ribosomal RNA
Rfam family: Bacterial small subunit ribosomal RNA
Source: RNAcentral
AGUGAACGCUGGCGGUAGGCCUAACACAUGCAAGUCGAACGGCAGCACAGUACGAGCUUGCUCUUACGGGUGGCGAGUGGCGGACGGGUGAGGAAAACAUCGGAAUCUACUUUUUCGUGGGGGUUAACGUAGGGAAACUUACGCUCAUACCGCAUCCCACCUACGGGUGAAAGCAGGGGAUCUUCGGACUCGGCGGGUGGGGAUGGGCUGGUGGCGGAUUAGCUGGUGGGCGGGGGAGAGGCCUACCAAGGCGUCGACGGGUAGCCGGCCUGAGAGGGUGACCGGCCACAUUGGGACUGAGAUACGGCCCAGACUCCUACGGGAGGCAGCAGUGGGGAAUAUUGCACAAUGGGCGGAAGCCUGAUGCAGCAACGCCGCGUGCGGGAUGACGGCCUUCGGGUUGUAAACCGCUUGCGCCUGUGACGAAGCGUGAGUGACGGUAAUGGGUAAAGAAGCACCGGCUAACUACGUG